This 56-nucleotide transfer RNA is filed under the name Psoroptes ovis (sheep scab mite). RNAcentral describes it as "tRNA-Thr". The record is from RNAcentral. Lineage: Eukaryota; Metazoa; Arthropoda; Arachnida; Sarcoptiformes; Psoroptidae.
UCCUUCAUAGUUUAAUAAAAAAUAUUGAUUUUGUAAAUCAAAGAAUAAAAGAGGAU